Molecule: ribosomal RNA, 442 nt
Filed under: uncultured bacterium
Lineage: Bacteria
Description: partial 16S ribosomal RNA
Rfam family: Bacterial small subunit ribosomal RNA
Source: RNAcentral
CCUACGGGAGGCAGCAGUGGGGAAUAUUGGGCAAUGUGCGCAAGCCUGACCCAGCAACGCCGCGUGAAGGAAGAAGGCUUUCGGGUUGUAAACUUCUUUUAAGGGGGAAGAGCAGAAGACGGUACCCCUUGAAUAAGCCACGGCUAACUACGUGCCAGCAGCCGCGGUAAUACGUAGGUGGCAAGAGUUGUCCGGAUUUACUGGGUGUAAAGGGCGAGCAGCCGGAGAGACAAGUCAGAUGUGAAAUCCACGGGCUCAACCCGUGAACUGCAUUUGAAACUGUUUCCCUUGAGUGUCGGGGAGGUAAGCGGAAUUCCUUGUGUAGCGGUGAAAUGCGUAGAUAUAAGGAAGAACACCAGUGGCGAAGGCGGAUUACUGGACGAUAACUGACGGUGAGGCGCGAAAGCGUGGGGAGCAAACAGGAUUAGAUACCCCUGUAGUC